RNAcentral lists this ribosomal RNA (492 nucleotides) under uncultured bacterium. Its description in RNAcentral is "partial 16S ribosomal RNA". It matches the Rfam family "Bacterial small subunit ribosomal RNA", at positions 29 to 507 of the family's 1533-position model. The record is from RNAcentral.
AGUGAACGCUGGCGGCAUGCCUAAUACAUGCAAGUCGAACGGCAGCACAGUAAGAGUUUGCCUCUACGGGUGGCGAGUGGCGGAUGGGUGAGGAAUACAUAGGAAUCUACUUUUUCGUGGGUGACAACGUAGGGAAAGUUAUGCUAACACCGCAUAUGUUCUACGGGUGAAAUCAGAGGAUCAUCGGACUUUUCGUGAUUGAAUGAGCCGAUGUCGGAUUAGCUAGUUGGCAGGGUAAAGGCCCACCAAGGCAACGAUACGUAGCUGAUCUGAGAGGAUGAUCGGCCACACUGGAACUGAGACACGGUCCAGACUCCUACGGGAGGCAGCAGUGGGGAAUCUUGCGCAAUGGGCGAAAGCCUGACGGAGCAAUGCCGCGUGAGUGAUGAAGGCCUUCGGGUUGUAAAACCCUUUUAUUAGGGAAGAACAGCAGCGGAUGUAUCCCCGGAUGUUCUGACGGUACCCAAAGAGUAAGCCCCGGCUAACUUCGUG